Marmota flaviventris (yellow-bellied marmot) is the source of this 604-nucleotide long non-coding RNA. RefSeq lists it as uncharacterized. NCBI's taxonomy places the organism in Eukaryota, Metazoa, Chordata, Mammalia, Rodentia, Sciuridae. The record is from RefSeq and is a predicted model, not a curated record.
GCAUUAAUUAAAAAUGCCUCAGAAUCAGCACAUAAAUACUUCUGGAACCAUCAUCUCUAUACCAAAAGGCACUGAUUAAAAGCGCAUACUAUUAAACAACAGUUAUAUUCUAGACUUUUCCUGUUUAAAUAGCGUGUCAGAUAUCCUCAUUAUCUUCUAAGAGGCUUCCCAGGACCCUUGCCAGUCAUGCUGUAGCAAGACAAAAGUACUGGGAGUCUCUGUCUUGAAUGAUUUGAAACCCAUGUUCCAUGGAAAAUCCUCGGAAACCCAAGCUUCUUCCUGAGGGGGCUCUUGAUACAGGAGAGCCACAAGGGCCACCAAGCUUACCAGAGUUUGGAAAUCACAGCGAGAAACUAAAGCAGCUCAUGCUGUUCCAUCUUGCAUUUGUGAAUCAUAAUUGGAGUACCAUGAAAGAUUCACAAAGUGGUCAUUUCUUGGGCCAGUCACCACCAACAGGAGAAAGGAUGCCGUGAGUGACCUGCUGUGGGAUUCCUGUCUACUCCUAAAAGCCCAACAAUCAUACUUUCAUCAGCAGAAUCACUCAGAGUGGAAAUAAAGGCACUAAGGAGCUGUGCAAGCAAACAAAAUAAGUUGAAUUAAAAAG